Molecule: ribosomal RNA, 1039 nt
Filed under: Arthrobacter sp. 1010B12_12ER2A
Lineage: Bacteria; Bacillati; Actinomycetota; Actinomycetes; Micrococcales; Micrococcaceae
Description: bacterial SSU rRNA
Rfam family: Bacterial small subunit ribosomal RNA
Source: RNAcentral
ACAUGCAAGUCGAACGAUGAUGCUGGUGCUUGCACUGGUGGAUUAGUGGCGAACGGGUGAGUAACACGUGAGUAACCUGCCCCUGACUUCGGGAUAAGCCCGGGAAACUGGGUCUAAUACCGGAUAUGACUUCCUGCUGCAUGGCAGGGGGUGGAAAGAUUUAUCGGUUGGGGAUGGACUCGCGGCCUAUCAGCUUGUUGGUGAGGUAAUGGCUCACCAAGGCGACGACGGGUAGCCGGCCUGAGAGGGUGACCGGCCACACUGGGACUGAGACACGGCCCAGACUCCUACGGGAGGCAGCAGUGGGGAAUAUUGCACAAUGGGCGAAAGCCUGAUGCAGCGACGCCGCGUGAGGGAUGACGGCCUUCGGGUUGUAAACCUCUUUCAGUAGGGAAGAAGCCCCUUUUGGGGGUGACGGUACUUGCAGAAGAAGCGCCGGCUAACUACGUGCCAGCAGCCGCGGUAAUACGUAGGGCGCAAGCGUUAUCCGGAAUUAUUGGGCGUAAAGAGCUCGUAGGCGGUUUGUCGCGUCUGCCGUGAAAGUCCGAGGCUCAACCUCGGAUCUGCGGUGGGUACGGGCAGACUAGAGUGAUGUAGGGGAGACUGGAAUUCCUGGUGUAGCGGUGAAAUGCGCAGAUAUCAGGAGGAACACCGAUGGCGAAGGCAGGUCUCUGGGCAUUUACUGACGCUGAGGAGCGAAAGCAUGGGGAGCGAACAGGAUUAGAUACCCUGGUAGUCCAUGCCGUAAACGUUGGGCACUAGGUGUGGGGGACAUUCCACGUUUUCCGCGCCGUAGCUAACGCAUUAAGUGCCCCGCCUGGGGAGUACGGCCGCAAGGCUAAAACUCAAAGGAAUUGACGGGGGCCCGCACAAGCGGCGGAGCAUGCGGAUUAAUUCGAUGCAACGCGAAGAACCUUACCAAGGCUUGACAUGUUCCAGACCGGGCCAGAGAUGGUCUUUCCCCUUUUGGGGCUGGUUCACAGGUGGUGCAUGGUUGUCGUCAGCUCGUGUCGUGAGAUGUUGGGUUAAGUCCCGCAAC